This 64-nucleotide transfer RNA is filed under the name Tinda javana. RNAcentral's name for it is "tRNA-Cys". It matches the Rfam family "tRNA". From Rfam's summary of the family: Transfer RNA (tRNA) molecules are approximately 80 nucleotides in length. Their secondary structure includes four short double-helical elements and three loops (D, anti-codon, and T loops). Further hydrogen bonds mediate the characteristic L-shaped molecular structure. tRNAs have two regions of fundamental functional importance: the anti-codon, which is responsible for specific mRNA codon recognition, and the 3' end, to which the tRNAs corresponding amino acid is attached (by aminoacyl-tRNA synthetases). tRNAs cope with the degeneracy of the genetic code in two manners: having more than one tRNA (with a specific anti-codon) for a particular amino acid; and 'wobble' base-pairing, i.e. permitting non-standard base-pairing at the 3rd anti-codon position. The record is from RNAcentral. Lineage: Eukaryota; Metazoa; Arthropoda; Insecta; Diptera; Stratiomyidae.
GGCUUUAUAGUCAAAAAUGAUAUUAGAUUGCAAAUCUGAAGGAGUAAUAAUUUUACUAAGGCUU